This 73-nucleotide transfer RNA is filed under the name Girardinus metallicus (metallic livebearer). RNAcentral describes it as "tRNA-Trp". It matches the Rfam family "tRNA". Rfam says of the family: Transfer RNA (tRNA) molecules are approximately 80 nucleotides in length. Their secondary structure includes four short double-helical elements and three loops (D, anti-codon, and T loops). Further hydrogen bonds mediate the characteristic L-shaped molecular structure. tRNAs have two regions of fundamental functional importance: the anti-codon, which is responsible for specific mRNA codon recognition, and the 3' end, to which the tRNAs corresponding amino acid is attached (by aminoacyl-tRNA synthetases). tRNAs cope with the degeneracy of the genetic code in two manners: having more than one tRNA (with a specific anti-codon) for a particular amino acid; and 'wobble' base-pairing, i.e. permitting non-standard base-pairing at the 3rd anti-codon position. Lineage: Eukaryota; Metazoa; Chordata; Actinopteri; Cyprinodontiformes; Poeciliidae. The record is from RNAcentral.
AGGGGCUUAGGAUAGUUCCUUAGACCGAGAGCCUUCAAAGCCCUAAGCGGGGGUGGAAGCCCCCCAGCCCCUG